UAUACAUUAUAGUCUGAUUUUGAAAGUCAGUAAAGGUUUAAAACCAUGUAU
RNAcentral lists this transfer RNA (51 nucleotides) under Euhadra herklotsi. Its description in RNAcentral is "Ser-tRNA(UGA)". The record is from RNAcentral. Lineage: Eukaryota; Metazoa; Mollusca; Gastropoda; Stylommatophora; Camaenidae.